RNAcentral lists this long non-coding RNA (3556 nucleotides) under Lactuca sativa (garden lettuce). RNAcentral's name for it is "long non-coding RNA (LSAT_LNC009394)". Lineage: Eukaryota; Viridiplantae; Streptophyta; Magnoliopsida; Asterales; Asteraceae. The record is from RNAcentral.
UAAACGUGUGCAAGCUUGAUUUCUUUUCAUCUUCUUAUUCUAUUGCAAUUGUUUGUUGCUUGAUCAUUGACAAAAGGAGUUAGUGGUGUUCUCAAAGUGACGUCUCUAACUUUUGAUCAGAUGGCCGACACCUUUCAACCGAUAUGGAUACAACUUCAAGGAUUCCUCCCCUUCCAUUUGCUAUUCCAACUUCAUUGCCAUUUGAUGAGUGAUCAGAUACUAACACAAACCUCCCAGCCUCUUGUGAAAACAAGAUGACUUGAUCAGAGGCAGGGAUAUCUUAUCCAAGAACAAGCACCACCAGCCAACAACCCUCCAAUGCUGCUACACCAACUCAACCGACCCUAAAAGGACCAAGUAACGUUAGAUCUUCGUUUCAAGUCGGGAUUUCUUCUACUCCUGGUGGUUUUUCUCCUCCACAACCUACACAAGAUGUUGCCUCUGUGAGGCUUUCCAGGUGAAGGAAGUUCAGGGGGAGCAGGCCCAUCUAUCUCAGAGCUCAAGGAGGAGAUCACUACUCUCAAACAGAAGACCUGAGUCCAUCCUAGCUCAAACCAAGGGGGAGAUUGUUAGGUCAUAAUUUUGUGGUUUGAGCUAGGCAUUCAUCUUGUAUAGGUCUUGGUAGGGUCUUGGGGUUUGCUAUGUUGGUUGUAGUAUGUUAGCGAGUGUGUGCGGCUGCACACUCUGUGUGCGGCCAUAUACGUGUGUGCGGCUGCACACUCUGUGUGCGGCCAUACACGCGUGUGCGGCUGUACACACGUGUGCGGCUGGUGGUCCUAUAAAUAGAGUGUGUCUGUGUCAGUUGUAAAGAGAAUUCAGUGACGUAUGUGUGUGUUUUCCCAAGGUGUACCUGACAUUUAUAUGAUAUAGAUGUGUGCAUGCUUGGAUUAAUUCUUCUUCUACUCCUUCUACACUGUGUUUGAUUGUUUGCCUUAAUUGAUCACUGAUUUGGAUCCAUAGUUUUUGGGACUUACAAUUGGUAUUAGAGCCAAUUCAGUAUCAAUUUGAAAUAUUUUAGAGUGUGCAGUUGGAGUUUGAAGGUGUGCGGUUGUUGUGUGCAGUUGGAGUGUGCGGUUGAGUGUGCGGUUGGAGUGUACGGGUUGAGUCUCCGGUUAGAGUGUGCGGUUGAGUGUGCAGUUGAGUGUGCGGUUGGGACUCAGGCUUGUAAUGACCUGGGUCCCCAAAUCUAAAUAAUCCCGCUCAUUGUGCAGGACCAGCUGCGGAUGAAUGUCGUCAAACCUUGGUAGGUCGACAGCGGUUGUUCCUCGCACAUUGAUAGGAGACAUCUCCCAACUGCACAUCAUUCAGACUUUUAAUGGGGGCUAUGUUUCCUUCACGGGAGGAGAUGGAGGGAAGAUAACUCAAAAAGGAAUAGUUGUAAAUGGAGUGCUGAGUUUUGAGAACGUCAUCUAUGCUCCUGAGUUAAAGUAUAGCUUGUUCAGUGUCUCACAGAUCAGCUUGUAGACUCCGGAUAAUGAUAUAAGGUUAAGCAGUGAAGACCUCGAUGUAAUAGUGUUUACAGAGUGUUCCAUCGAGUUGUACCUAACAUUUUUCAGAUACAAAUGUGUGCAAGCUCGAUUUCUUUUCGUCUUCUUAUUCUAUUGCGAUUGUUUGUUGCUUGAUCAUUGACAAAAGGAGUUAGUGGUGUUCUCAAAGUGACGUCUCCAACUUUUGAUCAGAUAGCCGAAACCUUUCAACCGAUAUGGAUACAACUUCAAGUAUUCCUCCAUUCCAUUUGCUAUUCCAACUUCAUUGCCAUUUGAUGAGUGAUCAGAUACUAACACAAACCUCCCAGCCUCUUGUGAAAACAAGAUGACUUGAUCAGAGGCAGGGAUAUCUUAUCCAAGAACAAGCAUUACAAGUCCAACAACCCUCCAAUGCUGCUACACCAACUCAACCGACCCUAAAAGGACCAAGUAACGUUAGAUCUUCGUUUCAAGUCGGGAUUUCUUCUGCUCCUGGUGGGUUUUCUCCUCCACAACCUGCACAAGACGUUGCCUCUGUGAGGCUUGCCAGGUGAAGGAAGUUCAGGGGGAGCAGGCCCAUCUAUCUCUGAGCUCAAGGAGGAGAUCACUACUCUCAAACAGAAGACCUGAGUCCAUGCUAGAUCAAACCAAGGGGGAGAUUGUUAGGUCAUAAUUUUGUGGUUUGAGCUAGACAUUCAUCUUGUAUAGGUCUUGGUAGGGUCUUGGGGUUUGCUAUGUUGGUUGUAGUAUGUUAGCGAGUGUGUGCGGCUGCACACUCUGUGUGCGGCCAUACACGCGUGUGCGGCUGUACACACGUGUGCGGCUGGUGGUCCUAUAAAUAGAGUGUGUCUGUGUCAGUUGUAAAGAGAAUUCAGUGACGUAUGUGUGUGUUUUCCCAAGGUGUACCUGACAUUUAUAUGAUAUAGAUGUGUGCAUGCUUGGAUUAAUUCUUCUUCUACUCCUUCUACACUAUGUUUGAUUGUUUGCCUUAAUUGAUCAAUGAUUUGGAUCCAUAGUUUUUGGGACUUACAAUUGGUAUUAGAGCCAAUUCAGUAUCAAUUUGAAACAUUUUAGAGUGUGCAGUUGGAGUUCUAAGGUGUGCGGUUGUUGUGUGCGGUUGGAGUGUGCGGUUGAGUGUGCGGUUGGAGUGUACGGGUUGAGUCUCCGGUUAGAGUGUGCGGUUGAGUGUGCAGUUGAGUGUGCGGUUGGGACUCAGGCUUGUAAUGACCUGGGUCCCCAAAUCUAAAUAAUCCCGCUCAUUGUGCAGGACCAGCUGCGGAUGAAUGUCGUCAAACCUUGGUAGGUCGACAGCGGUUGUUCCUCGCACAUUGAUAGGAGACAUCUCCCAACUGCACAUCAUUCAGACUUUUAAUGGGGGCUAUGUUUCCUUCACGGGAGGAGAUGGAGGGAAGAUAACUCAAAAAGGAAUAGUUGUAAAUGGAGUGCUGAGUUUUGAGAACGUCAUCUAUGCUCCUGAGUUAAAGUAUAGCUUGUUCAGUGUCUCACAGAUCAGCUUGUAGACUCCGGAUAAUGAUAUAAGGUUAAGCAGUGAAGACCUCGAUGUAAUAGUGUUUACAGAGUGUUCCAUCGAGUUGUACCUAACAUUUUUCAGAUACAAAUGUGUGCAAGCUCGAUUUCUUUUCGUCUUCUUAUUCUAUUGCGAUUGUUUGUUGCUUGAUCAUUGACAAAAGGAGUUAGUGGUGUUCUCAAAGUGACGUCUCCAACUUUUGAUCAGAUAGCCGAAACCUUUCAACCGAUAUGGAUACAACUUCAAGUAUUCCUCCAUUCCAUUUGCUAUUCCAACUUCAUUGCCAUUUGAUGAGUGAUCAGAUACUAACACAAACCUCCCAGCCUCUUGUGAAAACAAGAUACUUGAUCAGNUUUGAUCAGAUAGCCGAAACCUUUCAACCGAUAUGGAUACAACUUCAAGUAUUCCUCCAUUCCAUUUGCUAUUCCAACUUCAUUGCCAUUUGAUGAGUGAUCAGAUACUAACACAAACCUCCCAGCCUCUUGUGAAAACAAGAUGACUUGAUCAGAGGCAGGGAUAUCUUAUCCAAGAACAAGCAUUACAAGUCCAACAACCCUCCAAU